Molecule: ribosomal RNA, 371 nt
Filed under: uncultured archaeon
Lineage: Archaea
Description: bacterial SSU rRNA
Rfam family: Bacterial small subunit ribosomal RNA
Source: RNAcentral
UCAGGGUGAACGCUGGCGGCGUGCCUAACACAUGCAAGUCGAUCGGAGCAGCAAUGCUUAGAGGCGAACGGGUGAGGAAAACGUAGUAACCAACCCUUUAGACUGGGAUAGCCACUGGAAACGGUGGGUAAUACCGGAUAAGCUCGAGAGAGGAAAGGCAGAGAAGCGCUAAAGGACGGAACUGCGCCCCAUCAGAUAGUUGGUGAGGUAAAGGCUUACCAAGUCAAAGACGGGAAACCGACGUGAGAGCGUGUACGGUCACAAGGGCACUGAGAGACGGGCCCUACUCCUACGGGAGGCAGCAGUGGGGAAUAUUGGACAAUGGACGAAAGUCUGAUCCAGCGACGCCGCGUGGAGGAAGAAGUCCUCGG